Long non-coding RNA from Alexandromys fortis (reed vole), 709 nucleotides. RefSeq lists it as uncharacterized. NCBI's taxonomy places the organism in Eukaryota, Metazoa, Chordata, Mammalia, Rodentia, Cricetidae. The transcript is spliced from 4 exons. The record is from RefSeq and is a predicted model, not a curated record.
AUGAUCCCAGACCACAAGGCCCGGGGAUUGCACCAGAACAGUCCUGCCUGCGUGUCAGCACCGUGUGGAAGCAGCAGCUUGGGUGAGAGUGGCUGCGAGGCAUCCUACAGACUUCAGGAUUUAGAUAGACCUGGCUGGGGUGUACGCCCAGCUCUGUUAUUCUCUAACCUCCUCCUCAACGCCUUCGAGACCUGACAAUGAUGGACGGUAGCCACUCGAGUUUCUGCAAGGCCCCACUGGCCUGGUGGAUGUUCCAAAGGCUUUCAACUGCCACUCACUCUGUGCUGGAAAUGCCGCAGCCUCAUGCUGAAGAAACAGAUGCUCGGAGAAGUCAAGGCACUUGUCAAAGAUCACAAACCGACUACUAGCUGGAAGGAAGUGGGUCUUACUGAAGGCCUUAUGUGCUGAAUGAGUGUUGGAUGUCAGGCUCUGAUGCUUCUGAAAGGACAAGUCACUGUCCCAUUUGAGCCAUGUUUACUCAGUCCCAGGAGUGAAGCUGGUCAAAUAACAGAAUCAGAUGGAGAUGCCUCUUGUCAACUCUAGAGGACUUUGCGGAGGUGCUGGUGAUGGAACUCAAGGCCAUAUACAGCCUAGACAAGUAUGGUACAGGAGAAGUGGCUCAGAGGUUAAGAGCACUGCCUGCUCUUCCAAAGGUCCCGAGUUCAAUUCCAAGCAACCACAUGGUGCCUCACAACCAUCUGUAAUUAGA